UACCAGCACCCCGAGUGGUCGGGACGUUUAUUGGGCCUAAAGCAUCCGUAGCCGGUUCUACAAGUCUUCCGUUAAAUCCAACUGCUUAACAGGUGGGCUGCGGAAGAUACUAUAGAGCUAGGAGGCGGGAGAGGCAAGCGGCACUCGAUGGGUAGGGGUAAAAUCCGUUGAUCCAUUGAAGACCACCAGUGGCGAAGGCGGCUUGCCAGAACGCGCUCGACGGUGAGGGAUGAAAGCUGGGGGAGCAAAGCCGG
This 254-nucleotide ribosomal RNA is filed under the name uncultured bacterium. Its description in RNAcentral is "partial 16S ribosomal RNA". It matches the Rfam family "Archaeal small subunit ribosomal RNA", at positions 474 to 728 of the family's 1478-position model. The record is from RNAcentral.